Molecule: long non-coding RNA, 1122 nt
Organism: Lathyrus oleraceus (garden pea)
Lineage: Eukaryota; Viridiplantae; Streptophyta; Magnoliopsida; Fabales; Fabaceae
Exons: 2
Source: RefSeq, a predicted model, not a curated record
AGUAAGUCAAUGGACACAUAAAACACGUGGUUCACGUGUUAAAAUAAAACUCAGAAGUAAGUUCCAAACACACUCUCCUUUCACCUGAACCACGUUUCUCCUCCGUCGCGUUGGAGGUCGCCUCCGGCGGCAAAGGUACCUAAAUGGCCUGAAUUAAUACAUCAUUUAAUCCAGUUUCACGUCCAGAGUUCAAGAAUAAAAGGUGGAAGAACCCUAGGCAUUUAAGCAUAAAUUAAAUCACACUCUCUCGGAGUCAAAGCCCUAGAGGUCAUGGCUUCGACUCCCCUAACCCAAUGCUACACACCAGUAACUUUUACACAGUUAAAUGAUGAAGAAGAAGAUGAAGACUCACCGGAGCAACGCCAGAGUCAGGAUGAUGCAUGAUGUUGGUAUGGUUCAGGAUGGCUUAUAAAGCUAUAGGUUUAUUGUGUAUGAUGUUGCAAGAAUGUUGUUCAACUGGUUGAUGCUUUAUUUGGCAUGCCUUGGUUAGAUGUAGACUAGUUGGUUUGAAUUAGAUUGCACUAAGUCUGCUGCAAAAUGCUUUUGGCUGCAAAGUUCAUGUGGUCUGUUGGUUUGUUGUGUUUCCCUAGUGUAAGACCCUAAUUUUGACCCUAAGAUCCCUCAUGGCAUCAUGUUAUUGCAUAAGUGCAUUGCCUCAAGGAUCAUAGCAUGUUUGACUCAUCAACCCUAGGGUUGAGACUUGUUUGAGUGUUUUGAGACCACCAAACAUGCUUGUAUUGUAUAUUAUUGUUUUUCUUAUUUGAUUACUAACCAAAAGCACAAAAAUAUGUCACUAACUCUUUUUGUUUUGAAGCUCAAGUGAUCAUAUGCUUCUAGGAGGCUCCUAAGCCCAAUGAAAUGGCUAGAUGAAGAUGAGAAAAAGAAUGACAAUGGUCCACAAAGUUCCUAAUCAUCAUAUAUGUCUCCCAAGUAUCUCAACUUGCCAAUUUGAUAAAGAUAACCCAAAGGGCUUGAAGAUUGUUUCCCAAGGAAACCCUAAUUUCACUAUGCUUUAACUGUGCCUUGUCCAUGAAGCAAUCUCAACCUUUGAUCAAAUUUAAUCAAGGGAAGUUCUUUCAUUUAUCAUUUUAUUCAUAUAUGAGCCUAUUUGAGGUUCCUCAA